Molecule: long non-coding RNA, 611 nt
Organism: Peromyscus eremicus (cactus mouse)
Lineage: Eukaryota; Metazoa; Chordata; Mammalia; Rodentia; Cricetidae
Exons: 2
Source: RefSeq, a predicted model, not a curated record
ACCCACUGAUGAAGUCAGCUUCCUCAUAGACCAGUUACCUCUCAUAGUACCACCAGAUGAGGACCAAGCCUUCAACACGUGGACACUCUCGGGACACUUCAUAUUCAAACCAUAAGACAAGCAAAGCAGAGCAGCGGUGUUCUAGCAGACUGCCACAGCCACAAAGAUCUCUACAAAAUUCAGCAUCCCCCGCAACCGGUGCAUACCAGUUCCUCCUUACCUGGGACUGUCUUCCCAUGACUGGAUCACAGCAGUCACGGAAGUGGAAGGAGGGAUGGGUGGGCAGACAAGAAAGAAAGGGAAUGAGAAGAAUACACUCCCACUCUUUACACAGCGGCUCUCUCCAGAACCAAGCUCAUGAUGAACUGUCUAUCCCGCACAUGGUGCUCCCACGAACUCAUCCGCUCAUCAGCGCACAUCAGCUCUCAUUGGCUCUCCACAGCCCUGCUACCUCAGCACACUCACCUGGGGGCAAGGUUUCCAACACUUGAGUCAAUGGAGGACAAACCACAUCCAAAUCAUCAUACAAAGCAUGAACAUUUAAGUGACGCAGCGUGAUGCCGUGAAUUAUAGUCAGCAUGUCACUGUAGUAAAACAGCUUAAGUAUCAUC